GAUGAACGCUGGCGGCGUGCCUAAUACAUGCAAGUCGAACGCGCCGACAAGGGAACUGGUUCCUUUCACCGCGAGUGACGCACGGGUAAGUACCACGUGAGAAACCUACCCUUCAGCGGUAGAUAACCAUCGGAAACGAUGACUACUACCGCAUAGUUCUUCCACUCGCAUGACUUUAAUGGGAAACGCCGCUUCGGCUGUCACUCAAGGAUGGUCCCCGGGUGCAUUAGCUAGACGGUUGGGUAAGGUCCUACCGUGGCUUUGAUUGAUAUCCGACCUGAGAGGGGGAUAGGCAACAUUAGGACUGAGACACGGACAAAAGGACUACGGGAGGCAGCAGUAGGGAAUGGUACGCAAUGGACGGAAGUCUGACGGAGUGAGCAGGCGCGUGUGAAGAAGGUAUUCGGAGCGUAAAGCCGUGUUAUGAGAGAAGAAUAGCUUAUAGAGUAAAUGUUAUAGGUUUGACGGUAACUGAUAAGAAAGCAACGGCUAACUACGUG
RNAcentral lists this ribosomal RNA (500 nucleotides) under uncultured bacterium. RNAcentral's name for it is "partial 16S ribosomal RNA". It matches the Rfam family "Bacterial small subunit ribosomal RNA", at positions 28 to 507 of the family's 1533-position model. The record is from RNAcentral.